RNAcentral lists this small RNA (225 nucleotides) under Thermomonospora curvata. Its description in RNAcentral is "c-di-AMP sequence". It matches the Rfam family "c-di-AMP riboswitch aptamer (ydaO/yuaA leader)". Rfam says of the family: This family represents a conserved RNA structure found upstream of the ydaO and yuaA genes in Bacillus subtilis and related genes in other bacteria. The ydaO/yuaA element is thought to act as a genetic "off" switch for the ydaO and yuaA genes in its native state. RNAcentral also lists the same sequence under 1 other name. Lineage: Bacteria; Bacillati; Actinomycetota; Actinomycetes; Streptosporangiales; Thermomonosporaceae. The record is from RNAcentral.
ACGCUGAAACCGCCGAGUUCGCCGGACGCAGCCAGCGGUCGGCGAAGCCGGGGACCCACCGACAGUUCCCCUGGGCAGGCAGGAGCCGGCCGGCUCCGUCGGACCCAAUGGAGGGUGUUCCCCCGGGGUGAAUCCGUUCCGGCGCACCCGGGCGCGCCGGUCGCGGUAGGGCUGCUCCUAGCCCGAACCCGUCAGCUAACCCGGUAGGCGGUCCAGGAAGGAGAU